UACGUAGGGUGCGAGCGUUGUCCGGAAUUAUUGGGCGUAAAGAGCUCGUAGGUGGCGGGUCACGUCGGGUGUGAAAGCCUGGAGCUUAACUCCGGGUCUGCAUUCGAUACGGGUCUGCUGGGGUCUGGCAGGGGAGACUGGAAUUCCUGGUGUAGCGGUGAAAUGCGCAGAUAUCAGGAGGAACACCGGUGGCGAAGGCGGGUCUCUGGGUAGUAACUGACGCUGAGGAACGAAAGCGUGGGUAGCGAACAGG
Molecule: ribosomal RNA, 253 nt
Filed under: uncultured bacterium
Lineage: Bacteria
Description: partial 16S ribosomal RNA
Rfam family: Bacterial small subunit ribosomal RNA
Source: RNAcentral